This 89-nucleotide transfer RNA is filed under the name Spirochaetales bacterium. RNAcentral's name for it is "tRNA-Sec". It matches the Rfam family "Selenocysteine transfer RNA". The record is from RNAcentral. Lineage: Bacteria; Pseudomonadati; Spirochaetota; Spirochaetia; Spirochaetales. RNAcentral also lists the same sequence under 1 other name.
GGAAGCAGAUGGGGUCUGGUGGCUCCCGCGGUCUUCAAAACCGCUGGCCGCGCGCCGCGCGGUGGCAGGUUCGAUUCCUGCCUCUUCCG